GAUGAAGAACGUAUCGAAAUGCGAUAAGUAAUGUGAAUUGCAGAAUUCAGUGAAUCAUCGAAUCUUUGAACGCACAUUGCGCCCGCCAGUAUUCUGGCGGGCAUGCCUGUUCGAGCGUCAUUUCAACCAUCAAGCCCCCGGCUUGUGUUGGGGACCUGCGGCUGCCGCAGGCCCUGAAAACCAGUGGCGGGCUCGCUAGUCACUCCGAGCGUAGUAAUACAUCUCGCUCAGGGCGUGCUGCGGGUUCCGGCCGUUAAAAAGCCUUAUUUACCCAAGGUUGACCUCGGAUCAGGUAGGAAGACCCGCUGAACUUAAGCAUAUCAAUAAGCGGAGGA
Molecule: unclassified non-coding RNA, 335 nt
Filed under: soil metagenome
Description: partial contains 5.8S ribosomal RNA, internal transcribed spacer 2, and large subunit ribosomal RNA
Rfam family: 5.8S ribosomal RNA (bases 1-120)
Source: RNAcentral